AACCCCUUGGCAAUGGGCAAAGAGACACCUGAUUGGUGGUGUUGAUCUUAUAUCAGCUAGGGGUACAGCACUUACAGUCCUUUGUUCAUCCUAGCUUGAUGCCUGCUUGGUGGCCAGAGCUGUUUCAUGCCUAGGGCACAUAC
RNAcentral lists this small nucleolar RNA (143 nucleotides) under Dasypus novemcinctus (nine-banded armadillo). RNAcentral describes it as "Small nucleolar RNA SNORA48 (ENSDNOG00000040238.1)". It matches the Rfam family "Small nucleolar RNA SNORA48". Rfam says of the family: The snoRNA ACA 48 has been identified to guide pseudouridylation of the residue U3797 in the 28S rRNA subunit. Its host gene EIF4A1 (eukaryotic translation initiation factor 4A1) is shared with U67 and snoRNA mgU6-77 The record is from RNAcentral. Lineage: Eukaryota; Metazoa; Chordata; Mammalia; Cingulata; Dasypodidae.